This 1062-nucleotide ribosomal RNA is filed under the name metagenome. Its description in RNAcentral is "bacterial SSU rRNA". It matches the Rfam family "Bacterial small subunit ribosomal RNA", at positions 8 to 1062 of the family's 1533-position model. The record is from RNAcentral.
AGAGUUUGAUCCUGGCUCAGGACGAACGCUGGCGGCGUGCUUAACACAUGCAAGUCGAACGGAAAGGCCCCCACCUUGGUGGGGGUGCUCGAGUGGCGAACGGGUGAGUAACACGUGGGUGAUCUGCCCUGUACUUCGGGAUAAGCUUGGGAAACUGGGUCUAAUACCGGAUAGGACCAUGGUUUAGUGUCUCAUGGUGGAAAAAUAUUGUUUUGGUGCAGGAUGAGCUCGCGGCCUAUCAGCUUGUUGGUGGGGUAAUGGCCUACCAAGGCGUCGACGGGUAGCCGGCCUGAGAGGGUGGACGGCCACAUUGGGACUGAGAUACGGCCCAGACUCCUACGGGAGGCAGCAGUGGGGAAUAUUGCACAAUGGGCGCAAGCCUGAUGCAGCGACGCCGCGUGGGGGAUGACGGCCUUCGGGUUGUAAACUCCUUUCGUUAGGGACGAAGCCGCACCUUUUUUGGGUGUGGUGACGGUACCUUUGUUAAGAAGCACCGGCUAACUACGUGCCAGCAGCCGCGGUAAUACGUAGGGUGCGAGCGUUGUCCGGAAUUACUGGGCGUAAAGAGCUCGUAGGUGGUUUGUUGCGUCGUCUGUGAAAUUCCGGGGCUUAACUUCGGGGUGGCAGGCGAUACGGGCAUAACUAGAGUGCUGUAGGGGAGACUGGAAUUCCUGGUGUAGCGGUGGAAUGCGCAGAUAUCAGGAGGAACACCGAUGGCGAAGGCAGGUCUCUGGGCAGUAACUGACGCUGAGGAGCGAAAGCAUGGGGAGCGAACAGGAUUAGAUACCCUGGUAGUCCAUGCUGUAAACGGUGGGCGUUAGGUGUGGGGACCGGUUUGGUUUCUGUGCCGUAGCUAACGCAUUAAGCGCCCCGCCUGGGGAGUACGGCCGCAAGGCUAAAACUCAAAGGAAUUGACGGGGGCCCGCACAAGCGGCGGAGCAUGUGGAUUAAUUCGAUGCAACGCGAAGAACCUUACCUGGGUUUGACAUGCACCAGAUCGGCGUAGAGAUACGUUUUCCCUUGUGGUUGGUGCACAGGUGGUGCAUGGUUGUCGUCAGCUCG